CAUGAAUGGUUUAAUGNGGAUUUAGCUGUCUUUNUUUUUUUAAAUAGAAAUUAAUUUUUAAGUGAAAAAGCUUAAAUUAAAUUAAAAGACGAAAAGACCCUAUCGAACUUAAAAUUAACUUAAUAAUUUAAAAUUAUAUGUAACUAUUAAAUAAAUUUUUAUUGGGGCGAUAAAAGAACAUAUGAAGCUUCUUUUAAUUAAAAAUAUUUAUUAAUAUAUAGACCCAUUAAUAAUGGCUAUUAGAAUAAGUUACCGUAGGGAUAACAGCGUAAUAUUUCUGGAGAGCUCUUAUCAAUAGAAAAGUUUGCGACCUCGAUGUUGGAUUGGAAUUCCUAUUAGAUGCAAC
This 346-nucleotide ribosomal RNA is filed under the name Callochiton euplaeae. RNAcentral's name for it is "partial 16S ribosomal RNA". Lineage: Eukaryota; Metazoa; Mollusca; Polyplacophora; Chitonida; Callochitonidae. The record is from RNAcentral.